RNAcentral lists this ribosomal RNA (669 nucleotides) under Triticum aestivum (bread wheat). RNAcentral describes it as "partial small subunit ribosomal RNA". Lineage: Eukaryota; Viridiplantae; Streptophyta; Magnoliopsida; Poales; Poaceae. The record is from RNAcentral.
AUGACCCGGCGAGCAUCGUCCGCGCCUCCGCCGUUUGCACCACCCUGUUCGAUUUCAUCUCCGACCCCGCCUUCCUUCGCGACUACCGCGCCUUCCACGGGACUCCCCCGAUAUUGGGCUACCUCCACAACAAAAUCUCAGGAGAGCCACGAUGUCGCCCAAUUCGUCCCCACCGGAGCCUUCUGCCCGCUCGUCUGCGAGCGCCGCGACUGGGACGCCGUCGACUCCCGCCAUGGCCGCGUCCUCUUCUACACGCCCGAGGGGGAGGAUACUGACUUCGUCGUUUGGGACCCCAUCACCGACAAGCAGCGGUUGAUUUCCACCGGAUCCGAGCUAGUGGAGAUUCUUUGUGCUGGACCAGAGGUAACCUGGAUGGCCGCGGUGCUAUGCGCCAAGGACGGCUGCGACCACCUGGGCUGCCAUGACGGUCCCUUCCUCGUGGCCUUCGUCGGCUCCAACAUGGUAGAGAAGACCAUGUUUGCCUCCGUUUACUCAUCGGAGACUACUGAGUGGAGCGAGAUGGUCUCGGUUGAGAAUCCGAAUGCCGUCGUGACGUAUCCAUAUCCGUUUGGCAGCGUCAUCCAUCCCUACGCCAUUGAAGAGAAUGGGCCCACCGCGGUUGUGGGAAAAAAGUUUACUUCGCCGUCAAGUGGGGCUACUGGAGCAUGA